UGAGAUUAGGACUUAGUUGGGGGU
This 24-nucleotide non-coding RNA is filed under the name Rattus norvegicus (Norway rat). Lineage: Eukaryota; Metazoa; Chordata; Mammalia; Rodentia; Muridae. The record is from RNAcentral.